This is a non-coding RNA of Camelus ferus (Wild Bactrian camel), 73 nucleotides long. The record is from Rfam. Lineage: Eukaryota; Metazoa; Chordata; Mammalia; Artiodactyla; Camelidae.
GAGGUUAUAGCUCAAGUGGUAGAGUGUAUGCUUAGCAUGCGUGAGGUCUUGGGUUCAAUCCCCAGUACCUCCU